This 501-nucleotide ribosomal RNA is filed under the name uncultured bacterium. RNAcentral describes it as "partial 16S ribosomal RNA". It matches the Rfam family "Bacterial small subunit ribosomal RNA", at positions 30 to 523 of the family's 1533-position model. The record is from RNAcentral.
AUUGAACGCUGGCGGCAUGCCUUACACAUGCAAGUCGAACGGCAGCACGGGUGCUUGCACCUGGUGGCGAGUGGCGAACGGGUGAGUAAUACAUCGGAACGUACCUUAUCGUGGGGGAUAACGCAGCGAAAGCUGUGCUAAUACCGCAUACGCCCUGAGGGGGAAAGCGGGGGAUCGCAAGACCUCGCGCGAUUAGAGCGGCCGAUGCCUGAUUAGCUUGUUGGUGGGGUAAAAGCCCACCAAGGCGACGAUCAGUAGCUGGGCUGAGAGGACGAUCAGUCACACUGGGACUGAGACACUGCCCCGACUCCUACGGGAGGCAGCAGUGGGGAAUUUUGGACAAUGGGGGCAACCCUGAUCCAGAAAUGCCGCGUGAGUGAAGAAGGCCUUCGGGUUGUAAAGCUCUUUUGUCAGGGAAGAAACACCGGCUCUAACACAGUCCGGGAAUGACGGUACCUGAAGAAUAAGCACCGGCUAACUACGUGCCAGCAGCCGCAGUAA